CGGAGGGAUCAUUACCGAGUUUACAACUCCCAAACCCAUGUGAACAUACCUACUGUUGCUUCGGCGGGAUUGCCCCGGGCGCCUCGUGUGCCCCGGAUCAGGCGCCCGCCUAGGAAACUUAAUUCUUGUUUUAUUUUGGAAUCUUCUGAGUAGUUUUUACAAAUAAAUAAAAACUUUCAACAACGGAUCUCUUGGUUCUGGCAUCGAUGAAGAACGCAGCGAAAUGCGAUAAGUAAUGUGAAUUGCAGAAUUCAGUGAAUCAUCGAAUCUUUGAACGCACAUUGCGCCCGCCAGUAUUCUGGCGGGCAUGCCUGUCUGAGCGUCAUUUCAACCCUCAUGCCCCUAGGGCGUGGUGUUGGGGAUCGGCCAAAGCCCGCGAGGGACGGCCGGCCCCUAAAUCUAGUGGCGGACCCGUCGUGGCCUCCUCUGCGAAGUAGUGAUAUUCCGCAUCGGAGAGCGACGAGCCCCUGCCGUUAAACCCCCAACUUUCCAAGGUUGACCUCAGAUCAGGUAGGAAUACCCGCUGAACUUAA
RNAcentral lists this ribosomal RNA (533 nucleotides) under Clonostachys rosea. RNAcentral's name for it is "eukaryotic LSU rRNA". The stretch from base 172 to 325 matches the Rfam family "5.8S ribosomal RNA". The record is from RNAcentral. Lineage: Eukaryota; Fungi; Ascomycota; Sordariomycetes; Hypocreales; Bionectriaceae.